AUAGUAAAUAAUUUAGUAGGAAAACAGCGCGAAAUUUGUUGGCUAUACCUGCAACCGUUAAAGUCGGAGAGCCACCCAGUAUAGCCCAGUGUUGAAUGAAGGCCAGGAAAAGUCUAGCUCUGCAACUAAUUU
This 132-nucleotide non-coding RNA is filed under the name unclassified sequences. The record is from RNAcentral.